UAAGGAAUAUUGGUCAAUGGACGCAAGUCUGAACCAGCCAUGCCGCGUGAACGAUGAAGGUCCUCUGGAUUGUAAACUUCUUUUAUCUGGGACGAAAACGGGAUUUUUAUCUCAAUUGACGGUACCAGAGGAAUAAGCACCGGCUAACUCCGUGCCAGCAGCCGCGGUAAUACGGAGGGUGCGAGCGUUAUCCGGAUUUACUGGGUUUAAAGGGUGCGUAGGUGGGCUUAUAAGUCAGUGGUGAAAUCUCCGAGCUUAACUUGGAAACUUCCGUUGAUACUAUAGGUCUUGAAUUAUCUGGAGGUAAGCGGAAUAUGUCAUGUAGCGGUGAAAUGCUUAGAUAUGACAUAGAACACCAAUUGCGAAGGCAGCUUACUACAUAUAAAUUGACGCUGAGGCACGAAAGCGUGGGGAUCAAACA
This 421-nucleotide ribosomal RNA is filed under the name uncultured bacterium. RNAcentral's name for it is "bacterial SSU rRNA". It matches the Rfam family "Bacterial small subunit ribosomal RNA", at positions 355 to 774 of the family's 1533-position model. The record is from RNAcentral.